Molecule: long non-coding RNA, 343 nt
Organism: Pipra filicauda (Wire-tailed manakin)
Lineage: Eukaryota; Metazoa; Chordata; Aves; Passeriformes; Pipridae
Exons: 3
Source: RefSeq, a predicted model, not a curated record
AAGUUGUGUAAUGGGUGUCUCCUAAAAUUAAAAAUAGUGGUUGACCCAAGAGCCAGGAAACGCUUUUCCAAGUUUCGGUCAUUUUCCCAGAGGAAAACAGAGGGGACAGAAAGAUCCACUCGUGCCCCAUAACUUCCCUGCCUGCUGCCAACUUUCUUGUCAUGGAUGUGAAAAGGCCAUCACUGGAAGAUAGUUGAGAUGUUCAUUCCAAGAACUGACAUCUCCCCUUGCCAGAUCCCUUCUGAAAACCCCUCCAAGGCCCGUCUGUUAGUCUGCAGACAGGAAUUUGCACGUCCACAGUGACCAUAACAUUAAAUUUAUCUGUAUCUGCGGUCUUUCUCGA